GGGCGGAGAACGGCGGGUCAGAGAGAAGGCAGCCCGGUCCCCCUCAGUGGAAGGGAGUGGCGGUGGGCGGAGGGUGUUGAGGGGACGGUGCCAGCGGCUUGCGGGAAGCCGGGCGAUGCGGGUAGAACGGUGGAGGAGAGGGCAGGGAGGCCGGGGCCUCCCGUGGAACGGAACCGGGGGGUUGGGAGGCUGGGGGCGGCCUGUGUGAAGGGGGCGGGGAGGGAAAGGCUCGCGGCCAGUAGAUGCAGGAGGGAGGAGGGCCUAGAGGGGCUCCGGGCUGGCGGCCUCUGUGAGGAAGGGGAAGGAUAUGGAACCAAGAUCCUUUAAAUCCUGAUGAACUCAUCCGUAAAGCAGAUGCCCAAAGGAUGAUAGUAAGCUUACUGUGACAUAACUCCCGGAGCCGCAGCACGAGCCUUGUGAACCUUGGAAGCCCGUUUUCCGCGCAGUCACUAACUCGCUUAGUCACCCUGUGUAAAAGUUAUUCUGGGAUGACACCUGCCUGGGAAGUCUCACCUUUCCCCCCACCUCCUCCUGUCUGCGUAUUGUUCUGUAGCACCCCGUGCGCACCUUGAUUGUAGCGCUUAAGGUGUCCGUUUUAUUUACUAGACAGGGAUUGAACCAUUGUGUCCCAACCACCUAGAACCUGGGUCAUAGUGUAAAGCUUAAUCAAUGUAAUAUAAAUGGGGGAAUUAAAUUCAUAAUUGUUUAAUGUUUAAGUUUUGUCUUAAAUUUUAAAAGUAAAUGUUGGGGAUGGAGGGGAGGGACAGAGGGAGUCUAAAGACACCAGUAAUUAAUGAGUUUUUAUAAAAUAAGUAGUGUUGGCCGGGCGCAGUGGCUCAUGCCUAUAAUCCCAGCACUUUGGGAGGCUGAGGCUGGCGGAUCACCUGAGGUGAGGAGUUGGAGACCAGCCUGGCCAACGUGGUGAAACCCUGUCUCUACUAAAAAUACAAAAAUUAGCCCGGCGAGGUGGCAGGCGCCUGUAAUAAAUCCCAGCUACUCAGGAGGCUAAGGCAGGAGAAUCUCUUGAACCCAGGAGGUAGAGGUUGCAGUGAGCCAAGAUGGUGGUAUUGCACUCCAGCCUGGGUGACAAGAGCGAAACUCCAUCCAAAAAAAGAAAAAACAUAGUGUUGGGGGACAAUUCUCCAUGGGUCACCUGCACUUUCCCGUGUUUUGUGAGCAGAGACACUGACUGCCUUUGUUCUGGAGUACUAUGAUAGCUGGUAUUUUUUAAGAUGUGAUUAACAGUUAAAUUAGACUUGAGUAAAGCAGUUGGUCCUCCACAAGGUGGGUUGGCCUCAUCCCGUCAAGGGAAGGUCAUAAGAGAAAAGACUAAGGUCCUCUGAGGAAGAAGGAAUCCUGCCCCCAGACUGCCUUCAGCUCUUUCCUGGGUCUCUAACUUGACCUACAAAUUUUAGGCUUGCCAGCAUUAUAAAUAAAGUUUUGGUGCCGCAAAAGAAAUAGCACUCAACUAUAAAAUUUUCUUUUUUCCUUCUCAGCAAGGCAAUUUACUUCUAUAGAAGGGUGCGCCCUCACAGAUGGAGCAAUGGUGAGCACACACCUGGACAAGGGAGGCGAAGGGGUUUUUAUUCCUGACGCUUGUGGCACCUGCUGCUGUGUCCUUCCCCUGUUGGCUAAGGUUAGACGGCACAGGCUAAACUAAUUCUGAUUGACUAAUUUAAAGAGAGUGACCGGGUAAGUGGUUUGGUGGGAAAAAUAGUUAUGGCAGAGCAGGAAAUCGGAAUGAGUCAGGGUGGAGAAUGAGUCAGGGCAGAGCAGGUAAUCAGAAUGAGUCAGGGUGGAGCAGGUAGUUGAAAAAGAUUGCUUUACGAGGAAGUUAAGCUUUUUUUGUUUUGUUUUGUUUUUUUUAAUUGAGACAGAGUCUCGCUCUAUAGCCUAGACUGGAGUGCAGUGGCGGCAUCUCGGCUCACUGCAAGCUCUGCCUCCUGGGUUUGCUCCAUUCUCCUGCCUAAGCCUCCCGAGUAGCUGGGACUACAGGUGCCCGCCACCACACCCGGCUUAUUUUUUGUAUUUUUAGUAGAGAUGGAUUUCACCGUGUUAGGAUGGCCUCCAUCUCCUGACUUCAUGAUCUUCCCGCCUCGGCCUCCUGGGAUUACAGGUGUGAGCCACCGCAUCUGGCCAGAAGUUAAGUUUAAAAGUAGAAGACAAAGAAUUGAACAUACUGACAUUGAUUCUUCGAAGAGAAAUUUAGAACUCAUAUCUAACACCAGCCUCCAAUUGAUUGAGCCAAUUCCUUCAAAUAAAUCUCUCUCUGCAAUAUGCAUCCUAUUGGAUCUGUUUCUGUAGGGAAUUCUGAUUAAUAUACCCUUUCAAGGAACAGCUUUGGAAGAUUAAGAUAAUUGUCUGCUUCUGGAACAAAAGACAGGUUUGUUGCUGUUCAGUUUAAUAAAGAGAGUGUCACCUUCUGGGGCAAAGGCUGAGCAUGUUGGCUUGCAGUUCACUGUUCAAGACUGGGCUUUCCUAAACUUGGUGUACCUGGGCGGUAAAACCAAUCACAUGUGCAGCAUCCACCUGGACUGUCCCCAUGGGACUUGGAAGGGAAAGGGGAACCGAAGGGAAUAUGAAGCCCAGGCUACUGGCUGUGCUGUGAAAAAUAAAGCCCUUUCUCUCUGACUCAGGUGUUUUCUGCCAUCAUUUGUGGAGCUGUUAGAUGAGCUUGUUAGCUUGCAAGUAGGGUAAAAUCUAACAUGAUUCUGAAUAGUAUCUAGCCAUACUAUACCCAGCUCAUAGCAGUUGUUCCAAGAAAUAUUUGUUGAAUUAAUUAGUGAAUACCGGG
Molecule: long non-coding RNA, 2794 nt
Filed under: Homo sapiens (human)
Lineage: Eukaryota; Metazoa; Chordata; Mammalia; Primates; Hominidae
Description: non-protein coding lnc-CRYL1-1:7
Source: RNAcentral